GACGAACGCUGGCGGCGUGCUUAACACAUGCAAGUCUACGAGAACGAGGUAGCAAUAUCUCUAUUAAAGUGGCGCACGGGUGCGUAACACGUAAGCAAUCUACCUUUGGGUCUGGAAUAACUUCGAGAAAUCGAGGCUAAUACCGGAUAAUGCAGCGGCAUCGCAUGGUGAUGUUGUUAAAGUUUAAGUAAUGCCUAUAGAUGAGCUUGCGUCUGAUUAGCUAGUUGGUAGGGUAAAAGCCUACCAAGGCUACGAUCAGUAGCUGGUCUGAGAGGAUGAUCAGCCACACUGGAACUGAGACACGGUCCAGACUCCUACGGGAGGCAGCAGUGAGGAAUAUUGGGCAAUGCCCGCAAGGGUGACCCAGCAACGCCGCGUGGAGGAUGAAGGCCGUAAGGUUGUAAACUCCUGUUAGAGGAGAAGAACAGUACCGAUUGGAUCGGUAUUUGACUGUACCCUCAGAGAAAGCCCCGGCUAACU
Molecule: ribosomal RNA, 480 nt
Filed under: uncultured bacterium
Lineage: Bacteria
Description: bacterial SSU rRNA
Rfam family: Bacterial small subunit ribosomal RNA
Source: RNAcentral